Nelumbo nucifera (sacred lotus) is the source of this 260-nucleotide non-coding RNA. The record is from RefSeq and is a predicted model, not a curated record. NCBI's taxonomy places the organism in Eukaryota, Viridiplantae, Streptophyta, Magnoliopsida, Proteales, Nelumbonaceae.
UUUUGAGAUCGACGGUUAAAAAUGUUACUUAAUUUUGAACCAUUGGAUAAAUAAUAGAUCAAACGGCUGGCAGAAAAACCCUAGUCGCCAGUGAGGGUUAGAGGGUUUUUAAAGACGAGGAGGCCCUUUAAGCUCAGCCUCUUUCUCCCACUCUCUCCUGAAAGCCUUCGGCGACUCUAUCUCGGGAGAGUUCAUCUUCUUCUCGAGAUUUUUACUAUUUUCCUUUAAAAGUUUACAAUGGGAAAGGAGAAGGUUCACAU